RNAcentral lists this ribosomal RNA (466 nucleotides) under uncultured bacterium. RNAcentral's name for it is "bacterial SSU rRNA". It matches the Rfam family "Bacterial small subunit ribosomal RNA", at positions 328 to 792 of the family's 1533-position model. The record is from RNAcentral.
AUGCCAGACUCCUACGGGAGGCAGCAGUGAGGAAUAUUGGUCAAUGGCCGAGAGGCUGAACCAGCCAAGUCGCGUGAGGGAAGAAUGUCCUAAGGAUUGUAAACCUCUUUUGUCGGGGAGCAAAAAGGCUCUGCGGAGUCGUAUUGAGAGUACCCGAAGAAAAAGCAUCGGCUAACUCCGUGCCAGCAGCCGCGGUAAUACGGAGGAUGCGAGCGUUAUCCGGAUUUAUUGGGUUUAAAGGGUGCGCAGGCGGAGGCACAAGUCAGCGGAAAAAUCGGGGGGCUCACCCCCGCUCCGCCGUUGAAACUGUGCCCCUUGAGUGCGCGAAGGGUAGGCGGAAUGCGUGGUGUAGCGGUGAAAUGCAUAGAUAUCACGCAGAACUCCGAUCGCGAAGGCAGCCUACCGGCGCGCAACUGACGCUAAUGCACGAAAGCGUGGGUAUCGAACAGGAUUAGAUACCCCUGUA